CCCUUAGAUGUCCUGGGCCGCACGCGCGUUACACUGAUGCAUUCAACGAGCUUAUAACCUUGGCCGAGAGGCCUGGGCAAUCUUGUUAACGUGCAUCGUGAUAGGGAUAGAUUAUUGAAAUUAUUAAUCUUGAACGAGGAAUUCCUAGUAAACGCAGAUCAUCAAUCUGCAUUGAUUACGUCCCUGCCCUUUGUACACACCGCCCGUCGCACCUACCGAUUGGAUGGUCCGGUGAAGCCUCGGGAUUGUGGUUCUUGCCGCUUUAUUGUGGCGUGACCGCGAGAACUUGUCUAAACCUUAUCAUCUAGAGGAAGGUGAGUCGUAAC
This 326-nucleotide ribosomal RNA is filed under the name uncultured eukaryote. RNAcentral's name for it is "partial 18S ribosomal RNA". It matches the Rfam family "Eukaryotic small subunit ribosomal RNA", at positions 1470 to 1795 of the family's 1831-position model. The record is from RNAcentral.